GACGAACGCUGGCGGCGUGCUUAACACAUGCAAGUCGAACGGAAAGGCCCUGCUUUUGUGGGGUGCUCGAGUGGCGAACGGGUGAGUAACACGUGAGUAACCUGCCCUUGACUUUGGGAUAACUUCAGGAAACUGGGGCUAAUACCGGAUAGGAGCUCCUGCUGCCUGGUGGGGGUUGGAAAGUUUCGGCGGUUGGGGAUGGACUCGCGGCUUAUCAGCUUGUUGGUGGGGUAGUGGCUUACCAAGGCUUUGACGGGUAGCCGGCCUGAGAGGGUGACCGGCCACAUUGGGACUGAGAUACGGCCCAGACUCCUACGGGAGGCAGCAGUGGGGAAUAUUGCACAAUGGGCGGAAGCCUGAUGCAGCAACGCCGCGUGCGGGAUGACGGCCUUCGGGUUGUACACCGCUUUCGCCUGUGACGAAGCGUGAGUGACGGUAAUGGGUAAAGAAGCACCGGCUAACUACGUG
This 468-nucleotide ribosomal RNA is filed under the name uncultured bacterium. RNAcentral's name for it is "partial 16S ribosomal RNA". It matches the Rfam family "Bacterial small subunit ribosomal RNA", at positions 28 to 507 of the family's 1533-position model. The record is from RNAcentral.